CCUACGGGCGGCAGCAGUGGGGAAUAUUGCACAAUGGGCGCAAGCCUGAUGCAGCCAUGCCGCGUGUAUGAAGAAGGCCUUCGGGUUGUAAAGUACUUUCAGCGGGGAGGAAGGGAGUAAAGUUAAUACCUUUGCUCAUUGACGUUACCCGCAGAAGAAGCACCGGCUAACUCCGUGCCAGCAGCCGCGGUAAUACGGAGGGUGCAAGCGUUAAUCGGAAUUACUGGGCGUAAAGCGCACGCAGGCGGUUUGUUAAGUCAGAUGUGAAAUCCCCGGGCUCAACCUGGGAACUGCAUCUGAUACUGGCAAGCUUGAGUCUCGUAGAGGGGGGUAGAAUUUCAGGUGUAGCGGUGAAAUGCGUAGAGAUCUGAAGGAAUACCAGUGGCGAAGGCGGCCCCCUGGACAAAGACUGACGCUCAGAUGCGAAAGCGUGGGGAGCAAACAGGAUUAGAUACCCGGGUAGUC
RNAcentral lists this ribosomal RNA (465 nucleotides) under uncultured bacterium. RNAcentral's name for it is "bacterial SSU rRNA". It matches the Rfam family "Bacterial small subunit ribosomal RNA", at positions 338 to 795 of the family's 1533-position model. The record is from RNAcentral.